AAUUUUGCAUUAUUGUCCCAGCAGUUCGGUUGACCCCGACAUUUGGCAAACGCCACGCGGCGUGUAAUCGUGUACCCGGCAAUGUCCGACGUCGUCAUCCAUUGCGUCCACCCGGGAGAAUUCAUUGCGUCCGUAAUAAGAAAAAAGAUCGCGUCGCCUCGAGCACGUCAAAGCACUUCCUCCGGCUUCAACACACCGCGUUGUAAUCGCGUUCGGAUGGCCUUCCGUGUUUCAGGACGAAGCGCACCGAGAACGCCGCCUGUUUUGUGCCCGCAUUAACGAUAUGCCAAGUACAAUGCUGGUCAGAAAAGUCCAAACUAGAACAUCCAAACGUAAAAUUACUUUCGUCGUCGAAGCUGGAGACAAAGGGGUCCCCGUGGAUUCUCCCGUUUCCAGGUUCCAUUGGAGUCAUCUUGGAAAGCAGCCGCUACAUUGUAUCGAAACAUUCCAUACCGCUAGCGGAAGGGCAAAAAACGAAAGACACUCAGCAUCCUGGGUACCAUACGUCUACGUGAGGCAAUUUGAUCCUACGUUUUUGUGGAAGCACGAGCGUUCCAGAAGCACCGUUAUGAUUCUACACGGGGACUGAGAGUACCGGUAUUCACGAAAUGACCGUGCUCGAUUUCGUCGCUGAACAUCACGGAGGGAUCGAGAGUCGUCGCGAACCAACAACACGAUAACGCUUCUCCCGAUCGACUUUGAAUAAAUAGCUAUACAGCUCACCAUUAAGGUGAUUUAUUUUCACGGAGAAUGAAUAAUAAUCGUUAACUGCUAUAAAGUCAAUCAACGAUAAUACAUGAUAUGUACAUAUUGAUUCGUAGUAACUAUCUUACAGGAUAGGCUAUUUUAUGUGAUACCCGGUUUGUUAAAAUUGGGGACUAUAACUGUCGUAACCCAAAUUUGUACAGUAUAAGAAUCCAUAUUUUAGCUUAAAUAAUUUUAGUAAGAUUUUAUCGUUGUAAAUGACUGCUAUAUUUCUAGUUCCUGGAUAGAAUAUCCUAUCUACUAUCUUGAAAUAUCAGAGAAAAUUGAAAUUCCUUCCUGCGUUGUCAUUGUCUUUUUUCAUUCAAUUAAAAGUAUUUGAUCACUAUUUCGUAAGAGCUUCCGUAAUUUAACUUUCCUUAAGAGGCAAAAACACGAAGAACUUUAAAUAUUUCAAUGUAUCCUGAAGAAUAACAAGGAAAACGCUUUGAUUUUUAAGGCUAUGAUGAAUCACACCGAAGAACAGGUAUGUACGUUUUUCGAGGAAAAAAUUUCGGGCAUAUAUUAUAGUAACUGUAUCAUAGCAUAUUUAGUAACUGGAAUAUUUUGAGAACGUAUUAAC
Long non-coding RNA from Bombus impatiens (common eastern bumble bee), 1324 nucleotides. RefSeq lists it as uncharacterized. The record is from RefSeq and is a predicted model, not a curated record. The transcript is spliced from 3 exons. NCBI's taxonomy places the organism in Eukaryota, Metazoa, Arthropoda, Insecta, Hymenoptera, Apidae.